ACGGAAGGCAGCAGUGAGGAAUAUUGGUCAAUGGACGGAAGUCUGAACCAGCCAUGCCGCGUGAAGGAAUAAGGCCCUAUGGGUCGUAAACUUCUUUUGUGGUGGAGCAAUAAGGUGCACGUGUGCAUCGCUGAGAGUACAUCACGAAUAAGCAUCGGCUAACUCCGUGCCAGCAGCCGCGGUAAUACGGAGGAUGCGAGCGUUAUCCGGAUUUAUUGGGUUUAAAGGGUGCGUAGGCUGUUCUUCAAGUCAGAGGUGAAAUACCGGGGCUCAACCCUGGAACUGCCUUUGAUACUGGAGGGCUUGAAUACUGUUGCCGUGGGAGGAAUGAGUAGUGUAGCGGUGAAAUGCAUAGAUAUUACUCAGAACACCGAUUGCGAAGGCAUCUCACGAAGCAGCGAUUGACGCUGAGGCACGAAAGCGUGGGGAUCAAACAGGAUUAGAUACCCUGGUA
RNAcentral lists this ribosomal RNA (454 nucleotides) under uncultured Rikenellaceae bacterium. RNAcentral's name for it is "partial 16S ribosomal RNA". It matches the Rfam family "Bacterial small subunit ribosomal RNA", at positions 341 to 792 of the family's 1533-position model. The record is from RNAcentral. Lineage: Bacteria; Pseudomonadati; Bacteroidota; Bacteroidia; Bacteroidales; Rikenellaceae.